Molecule: non-coding RNA, 30 nt
Filed under: Homo sapiens (human)
Lineage: Eukaryota; Metazoa; Chordata; Mammalia; Primates; Hominidae
Source: RNAcentral
UCCUCGCAGAGAAUGUGAACAUGUGUGUGA